CACGUAGUUGGCCGGCGCUUCUUCUCCUCCUACCGUCACCUUACGGCUUCGUCAGAGUCGAAAGAGGUUUACAACCCGAAGGCCGUCAUCCCUCACGCGGCGUCGCUGCAUCAGGCUUGCGCCCAUUGUGCAAUAUUCCCCA
Molecule: ribosomal RNA, 142 nt
Filed under: uncultured bacterium
Lineage: Bacteria
Description: partial 16S ribosomal RNA
Source: RNAcentral